Molecule: ribosomal RNA, 468 nt
Filed under: uncultured bacterium
Lineage: Bacteria
Description: partial 16S ribosomal RNA
Rfam family: Bacterial small subunit ribosomal RNA
Source: RNAcentral
GACGAACGCUGGCGGCGUGCUUAACACAUGCAGGUCGAACGGAAAGGCCCUGCUUUUGUGGGGUGCUCGAGUGGCGAACGGGUGAGUAACACGUGAGUAACCUGCCCUUGACUUUGGGAUAACUUCAGGAAACUGGGGCUAAUACCGGAUAGGAGCUCCUGCUGCAUGGUGGGGGUUGGAAAGUUUCGGCGGUUGGGGAUGGACUCGCGGCUUAUCAGCUUGUUGGUGGGGUAGUGGCUUACCAAGGCUUUGACGGGUAGCCGGCCUGAGAGGGUGACCGGCCACAUUGGGACUGAGAUACGGCCCAGACUCCUACGGGAGGCAGCAGUGGGGAAUAUUGCACAAUGGGCGGAGGCCUGAUGCAGCAACGCCGCGUGCGGGAUGACGGCCUUCGGGUUGUAAACCGCUUUCGCCUGUGACGAAGCGUGAGUGACGGUAAUGGGUAAAGAAGCACCGGCUAACUACGUG